UGGAAAGAAGGUAUAGACAGAAACGA
This 26-nucleotide non-coding RNA is filed under the name Mus musculus (house mouse). The record is from RNAcentral. Lineage: Eukaryota; Metazoa; Chordata; Mammalia; Rodentia; Muridae.